Molecule: long non-coding RNA, 1845 nt
Organism: Brienomyrus brachyistius
Lineage: Eukaryota; Metazoa; Chordata; Actinopteri; Osteoglossiformes; Mormyridae
Exons: 3
Source: RefSeq, a predicted model, not a curated record
AUCUGAGAACAAAUAACACGUAUCCAAACAUGCACACUUAAAUUGACAGAAGUCAUUUUUACUUUCAUUUUUGAGACAAAAACGAUGUUGAUUGCUUGAAAAUUUGGAAUGUUAUCUGACCACUGUAUGAUACCGUGUGAAAUUAAAUAAUAUAUUGAUGUGUUAUAUAUUUUAAACAGAUGAAAAGAACAGUGAUAUAUCAAAAGUGGAAUGGUCACGCAAGCAAUGCCAUGACGAGGACACACUGAAUUACGCUGCCCUGAACCUUAAGAAGCCAAAACCCAGGAGACAGAAGAAAGACGGGAAUAAUGACACUCUGUAUUCUGACCUCCGCUACAGAGAUUAUGAAUAAAGAUGCUUCUCAUUCAUGUGAUCUGAGGGGAAGAAACUGGCUCAUCAAGCAAGCAGCAAGGGUUCUGUGAAGCGUGUCCUCUUGGUAAGCUUGCCAACCAUGAGUGUGAUGCCUGCUCCACCCAGGGAAUCAGAGAGCAGCUUGGUGAGCUUGCUGUCGCAGUACAGAAUGUGCCCGCUCUUCUUCUUAGGGUCCACUAGUGCGGAUAUGCACUUGCCUGCAUAGAGAGAGAAAGCAGACACAGGGGAGAUCAUGAAGCACCUCGAAGAUCCUGUUUUGCUGUCGGAGACAGAUACUGUACAGCUGACACCUACCCAAAGACAAGAGACUUUGGUUGAUGUUGGCAGCCUCUUCCAGGAGAUCUUCUGAGGAACUGGGCCCCCUCAACCGUUCACUUCUGGCUACAUCCACUAGGCACAGUUUCCCCUUGGUGGCUGUGCCUUCAUCACUAUUAGCCUAAGAAAGAAGAUGUAGGUUUCGGAGGAUGUUCACUCUACCCAAGAUCAGCCCCCAUUAAAGCAGAGAUGGAUUCUUAAAGAGUGCAGCAGGAGAAGCACAGGAAUGUGCAGAGGGUAGAAAGACAGGCGUCUCACUGCUUUAGCUCUGAUGGAGACUGUCAGGAUGGAGUGGCUGCGGCUGGAGAGCUCAUUCUGGGCCUGCGAGGAUGUGUGUCUGCUCCUCAAACCUGGAACAAUGUGUGCGGAGGCAAGGCAGUCAGCAAACCAGAAAAACCCACAGAGACACAUCCAGAUAACAUAAAGUCCUCCAGAGUGUCCAACAGUGGACAAGUUCUCCACAUAAAAGCCCUGAGUUUGGUUUCUGUGGAGAGACAAGGAGGACGUCAACCAGGGGAGUGAGGAGAUCCCGAACCUGCAGGGGCAUAAGACUGGAGAACAUAAUCACCAUGUAUAAAAGCCUAAAGAAUCAUAGUUGUUCCCGAGGAUGUUUUGUAAGGAUCAAGUACAGAUGCAGUCACUUGAAUUUUCUCCUGUUUCCAUGAUGGGGCAUUGGCUGGUCCUUGGCUGAUCCAUGACUGGCCCCUGCUGGGUUCUGGGUGGAACCUUGACUAUUGAUGCGUUCGAUUAUUUGUCUCCAACUGGGAACUCGGACGAAAACGUCACGAAAAAUGUCACUUCCCUUCGGAAACAUGCCUCUUUUAUGUCGGACAGAAUUUUCUUGUCCAAGUUGCCCCUGUGACGUAAUUUCAACAUGGCGGCUUACACACUCAAUAGUGUGUAAGCCUCAGUAAUUCUAUUUUGCAAAUAUUUAAAAAUGUUUUUUUUGUUAAAUGUAUAAUUAUAAAUGCAAUUGCACAUGUUCAAUUGAAGGAAUACCAUAUCGUGACCGUAAACAGUAUCCUAACAUGCAAUAUCAGAUUUUUACCAGACUUGUUAGUGUUUUUGGUUUGUUUGUAGUUUGUUUGCCUCUCGAAAAAAGAAUAUCGCUAUGAAUGUACUAAAAUACUUUAUAAAGCUUUUAAUGUGGUUUGACUA